CCUACGGGAGGCAGCAGUGAGGAAUAUUGGUCAAUGGGCGCGAGCCUGAACCAGCCAAGUAGCGUGAAGGAUGACUGCCCUACGGGUUGUAAACUUUUUUUAUAAAGGAAUAAAGUGAGGCACGUGUGCCUUUUUGUAUGUACUUUAUGAAUAAGGAUCGGCUAACUCCGUGCCAGCAGCAGCGGUAAUACGGAGGAUCCGAGCGUUAUCCGGAUUUAUUGGGUUUAAAGGGAGCGUAGAUGGGUUGUUAAGUCAGUUGUGAAAGUUUGCGGCUCAACCGUAAAAUUGCAAUUGAUACUGGCAGCCUUGAGUACAGUUGAGGUAGGCGGAAUUCGUGGUGUAGCGGUGAAAUGCUUAGAUAUCACGAAGAACUCCGAUUGCGAAGGCAGCUUACUAAACUGCCACUGACAUUGAGGCACGAAAGCGUGGGUAGCGAACAGGAUUAGAUACCCCGGUAGUC
Molecule: ribosomal RNA, 460 nt
Filed under: uncultured bacterium
Lineage: Bacteria
Description: partial 16S ribosomal RNA
Rfam family: Bacterial small subunit ribosomal RNA
Source: RNAcentral